CGGGGUGUGGCCCAGCUUGGUCUAAGGCGCUACCUUGGGGUGGUAGAGAUCGGUGGUUCAAAUCCACUCACCCCGA
RNAcentral lists this transfer RNA (76 nucleotides) under Candidatus Omnitrophota bacterium. RNAcentral describes it as "Candidatus Omnitrophica bacterium (groundwater metagenome) tRNA-Pro". It matches the Rfam family "tRNA". From Rfam's summary of the family: Transfer RNA (tRNA) molecules are approximately 80 nucleotides in length. Their secondary structure includes four short double-helical elements and three loops (D, anti-codon, and T loops). Further hydrogen bonds mediate the characteristic L-shaped molecular structure. tRNAs have two regions of fundamental functional importance: the anti-codon, which is responsible for specific mRNA codon recognition, and the 3' end, to which the tRNAs corresponding amino acid is attached (by aminoacyl-tRNA synthetases). tRNAs cope with the degeneracy of the genetic code in two manners: having more than one tRNA (with a specific anti-codon) for a particular amino acid; and 'wobble' base-pairing, i.e. permitting non-standard base-pairing at the 3rd anti-codon position. The record is from RNAcentral. Lineage: Bacteria; Pseudomonadati; Candidatus Omnitrophota.